GGCUUACAAUCUUCGACUGCAUCAAGUCAUGAUGUGCUGACAAAGUCAUUCCAAAAGAUGACAGUGGAGGAAAUUACCCCUAACCAAAAUAGCAUGAUGGUUAAGCAAUCUCCUAACCCACUGGAUGCCAUAACUAGGAGUUUAUCUGAGUUGCCGGCUCAGUCACAAUUCUCUCAACAGGAAGGUGUUGAGGAUGCAAGUUCAAGAAACUAACCAGUCUAUGCAACCACCAUAUUUAAGCACAAUUCUUUCAGGAUGUGCACUUGGUUUUUAGAGGGAACGGAGAUGGACGCCGAUGGAACGUCAGAUGCACCUUUUUAUUUUGUCCAUUGGUAUGCCUUGUUUUGACGUAAUUUGCUGAGGUGCAUGGAAGAAAACAAAGAAAUAUAUAGGUAUUUAUUCAAGGAGAGAAGAAAGAGAGAAAGAACUUAGGUUUUUAACUGGGUAGAAUUUUAAUGUUCAUGGUUUUUGUAUAGCGUGGUUUUUGGUGUGGAUGAUUAUCUUCUUCGUCUACAUUUUCUGGUGGUUGGCAAAAUAUGAGAUAUUCUUCAAGGCGAAGCAUCGUGUUAC
Molecule: unclassified non-coding RNA, 570 nt
Filed under: Hevea brasiliensis (rubber tree)
Lineage: Eukaryota; Viridiplantae; Streptophyta; Magnoliopsida; Malpighiales; Euphorbiaceae
Source: RNAcentral